GUCAGGAUGGCCGAGCGGUCUAAGGCGCCAGACUCAAGGUUCAUACCUUCUCGGUUUAAUACCGAGUUUGGGGCUUCUGGUCCUCUCUGAGGGCGUGGGUUCGAAUCCCACUUCUGACA
This 119-nucleotide transfer RNA is filed under the name Trachymyrmex septentrionalis. It matches the Rfam family "tRNA". Rfam says of the family: Transfer RNA (tRNA) molecules are approximately 80 nucleotides in length. Their secondary structure includes four short double-helical elements and three loops (D, anti-codon, and T loops). Lineage: Eukaryota; Metazoa; Arthropoda; Insecta; Hymenoptera; Formicidae. The record is from Rfam by way of RNAcentral.